CCAGUCCCAGCUCCCCAGAGUUCCCCAGCAGGAAAAGCAAGUAGCCUUCUGAAUAAUCCUUUCUCCCGAGGACAUGGUGAAAGAAUGAACCCAGCCUAAGUAACAAGACACAUCUGAGUGGGGACAUCAAGCCAAUCAGGAGUGGACCGGGUGCUACUAAUUGUUUACCUCACUGAAGAUACUGGCAAGACUUUUUGGGUGAAAUGAGAGUACUGGCUAAGAGGAGCAUGAACUUAAAGGACCUCAAGGACUGUGGAAAGACCAAGUGACACCACAUAAUACCCAACUGGCAGUCCCUGGAGCAGGAAUCAUGGAGAGGAAGAAGGACAGAGAGAUUAUUUUGGAGCAUUUUGAUUCUAGGCUCUUCCCACUGUCCAAUCAGCAGUGACUGAACCAGACUCUACAAAUGCUGGGGGAAAGGUGGCUACCUUGAGCACCUCCUCUUCCCUUAGACUUAUUCAGAAAGAGAAUUAAAUCAAAAACAGAACACAUUUCCACCUCUGUCUCUAGUAAGCACUAGAGAUGGAUGACAUAGUUUAGGAAAUGCAAUGCAAAGGAAGAGGAUGAAGAAGUUUGCUGAGGAGGGAUGCUAAGAAGGUGAUACUUAGUGGAAAUUUAGGUCCCAGCUCAUUUUAUUGAUUGGCUCUGCCAAGGGAGAAAUAUGUUAGCUUUCAUUUCCUCCAAAAUAUAUUUUAUAACCUCUUGAGGAAAUAUCUUCGGCCUAUAUUGGCCUUGCCUUUACUGUUCUCCCUAUUGCAUGCUGGCAUGUAAUAUGCCUGGGGCUUUAAGUUUCAAUACUGCUUGUAGGUCGAGACCGGCCAUGUUUUGCAGUGUUUCUGAAUGAAUAAAUAUAUUUAAUAUAUUGAAGUUGUCUUCUCUUUAUUGCCUCUUUUAGCUUUUUGAGUUACUCAACAUAUUUCAGCACUUCCUCUCUAUGGCAGCAAGUUGCUUCCUUCCAGCAGUGUUGCUGGUUUCACUGGAAAAGGCAGCAAAUCAGAUGGUCAGCACCAUAGUCCACUAAGUGCUUUAGUAAAAUGUUUCCUUUUCAUUUGCACAGAGGUAAGGAUGGGAGAAAGAGAGAAACUUAAUUUAGGAGUCUUUGCUGAGGGUUAAAGGGACAAGAAAGGACAAGAAGAUACUUGGAGGGGAUAGUUAAAGAACUACCUUGUUCUGCAG
Molecule: long non-coding RNA, 1176 nt
Filed under: Chrysolophus pictus (golden pheasant)
Lineage: Eukaryota; Metazoa; Chordata; Aves; Galliformes; Phasianidae
Description: lncRNA (ENSCPIG00010011773.1)
Source: RNAcentral